AUGCAGCCGCCUCCCCUCUCCCUCCCUUCCUCCCCAAACGCGCCGACCGCCUCCUCUCCACCUGCCGCCUCCCCUCUCCCUCCCUUCCUCCCCAAACGCGCUGGCCGCCUCCUCUCCACCUGCCAUACCGUGUCCCUGCUGGAGGUGGGAGGAUACCCGGGGGAGCAGAGGAGGGGGUUGGAUGAGGGGUUAGGAGGUGCGAGGCGAGCAGGAGGUGGGGUCGCCGGAGGAGCACAGCCGCCAGAGCAGAGCAGAGGAGUUCGAUGCAGGGGCGCAAUGGGAUGGUCAGAGAGCGCGCGGUAUCCUGCGAUACAUAUCCGCUCCCAAGCAGAGGAUGCAUCAGCGCUCGCUCCUCCUCUCCCCCACGCCACCGCUUUCCUGCGUCGUCGCUGCCGCCACAGCCUUGCUUGCCAUCGACCUCCCGGAUUUGUUCUUCCUGCUGCUAAGUAUUAG
Molecule: ribosomal RNA, 453 nt
Filed under: Triticum aestivum (bread wheat)
Lineage: Eukaryota; Viridiplantae; Streptophyta; Magnoliopsida; Poales; Poaceae
Description: partial small subunit ribosomal RNA
Source: RNAcentral